Molecule: ribosomal RNA, 490 nt
Filed under: uncultured bacterium
Lineage: Bacteria
Description: partial 16S ribosomal RNA
Rfam family: Bacterial small subunit ribosomal RNA
Source: RNAcentral
AUUGAACGCUGGCGGCAGGCCUAACACAUGCAAGUCGAACGGUAACAGGAAACAGCUUGCUGUUUCGCUGACGAGUGGCGGACGGGUGAGUAAUGUCUGGGAAACUGCCUGAUGGAGGGGGAUAACUACUGGAAACGGUAGCUAAUACCGCAUAACGUCGCAAGCCCAAAGAAGGGGACCCUCGGGCCUCUUGCCAUCGGAUGUGCCCAGCUGGGAUUGGCUUGUUGGUGGGGUAACGGCUCACCAAGGCGACGAUCCCUAGCUGGUCUGAGGGGAGGACGGGCGACACUGGAACGUGGACACGGACCUUAGUCCUACGGGAGGCAGCAGAGGGGAAUAUGACACAGUGGGCGGGAGCCUUAUGCAGCCAGGCGGCGUGUAUGGAGAAGGCCUUCGGGUUGUAAAGUACUUUCAGCGGGGAUGAAGGGAGUAAAGUUGAGACCUUGGCUCAUUGACGUUACCCGGUGGAGAAGCACCGGCUAACUCCGUG